This 429-nucleotide ribosomal RNA is filed under the name Chloroflexota bacterium. RNAcentral's name for it is "Chloroflexi bacterium partial 16S ribosomal RNA". It matches the Rfam family "Bacterial small subunit ribosomal RNA", at positions 355 to 776 of the family's 1533-position model. The record is from RNAcentral. Lineage: Bacteria; Bacillati; Chloroflexota.
UGGGGAAUAUUGCACAAUGGGCGCAAGCCUGAUGCAGCCAUGCCGCGUGUAUGAAGAAGGCCUUCGGGUUGUAAAGUACUUUCAGUCGGGAGGAAGGUGGUAAGGUUAAUAACCUUAUCAAUUGACGUUACCGACAGAAGAAGCACCGGCUAACUCCGUGCCAGCAGCCGCGGUAAUACGGAGGGUGCAAGCGUUAAUCGGAAUUACUGGGCGUAAAGCGCACGCAGGCGGUCUGUCAAGUCGGAUGUGAAAUCCCCGGGCUCAACCUGGGAACUGCAUUCGAAACUGGCAGGCUAGAGUCUAGUAGAGGGGGGUAGAAUUCCAGGUGUAGCGGUGAAAUGCGUAGAGAUCUGGAGGAAUACCGGUGGCGAAGGCGGCCCCCUGGACAAAGACUGACGCUCAGGUGCGAAAGCGUGGGGAGCAAACAGG